This 831-nucleotide ribosomal RNA is filed under the name uncultured bacterium. RNAcentral describes it as "bacterial SSU rRNA". It matches the Rfam family "Bacterial small subunit ribosomal RNA", at positions 625 to 1455 of the family's 1533-position model. The record is from RNAcentral.
UCUGGAAACUGUNUGACUUGAGUGCAGAAGGGGAGAGUGGAAUUCCAUGUGUAGCGGUGAAAUGCGUAGAUAUAUGGAGGAACACCAGUGGCGAAAGCGGCUCUCUGGUCUGUCACUGACGCUGAGGCUCGAAAGCGUGGGUAGCGAUCAGGAUUAGAUACCCUGGUAGUNCACGCCGUAAACGAUGAGUGCUAGGUGUUAGGCCCUUUCCGGGGCUUAGUGCCGGAGCUAACGCAAUAAGCACUCCGCCUGGGGAGUACGACCGCAAGGUUGAAACUCAAAGGAAUUGACGGGGGCCCGCACAAGCGGUGGAGCAUGUGGUUUAAUUCGAAGCAACGCGAAGAACCUUACCAGGUCUUGACAUCCCGAUGCUAUUCUUAGAGAUAGGAAGUUACUUCGGUACAUCGGAGACAGGUGGUGCAUGGUUGUCGUCAGCUCGUGUCGUGAGAUGUUGGGUUAAGUCCCGCAACGAGCGCAACCCUUAUUGUUAGCUGCCAUCAUUAAGUUGGGCACUCUAGCGAGACUGCCGGUAAUAAACCGGAGGAAGGUGGGGAUGACGUCAAAUCAUCAUGCCCCUUAUGACCUGGGCUACACACGUGCUACAAUGGUCGGUACAACGAGUUGCGAGCCGGUGACGGCAAGCUAAUCUCUGAAAGCCGAUCUCAGUUCGGAUUGGAGGCUGCAACUCGCCUCCAUGAAGUCGGAAUCGCUAGUAAUCGCGGAUCAGCACGCCGCGGUGAAUACGUUCCCGGGCCUUGUACACACCGCCCGUCACACCACGAGAGUUUGCAACACCCGAAGUCGGUGAGGUAACCUUUUAGGGGCCAGCCG